RNAcentral lists this ribosomal RNA (1338 nucleotides) under uncultured bacterium. Its description in RNAcentral is "bacterial SSU rRNA". It matches the Rfam family "Bacterial small subunit ribosomal RNA", at positions 28 to 1387 of the family's 1533-position model. The record is from RNAcentral.
GACGAACGCUGGCGGCGCGCCUAACACAUGCAAGUCGAACGAGAGAUGAGGAGCUUGCUCUUCAAAUCGAGUGGCGAACGGGUGAGUAACGCGUGAGGAACCUGCCUCAAAGAGGGGGACAACAGUUGGAAACGACUGCUAAUACCGCAUAAGCCCACGGCUCGGCAUCGAGCAGAGGGAAAAGGAGCAAUCCGCUUUGAGAUGGCCUCGCGUCCGAUUAGCUAGUUGGUGAGGUAAUGGCCCACCAAGGCGACGAUCGGUAGCCGGACUGAGAGGUUGAACGGCCACAUUGGGACUGAGACACGGCCCAGACUCCUACGGGAGGCAGCAGUGGGGAAUAUUGCACAAUGGGGGAAACCCUGAUGCAGCGACGCCGCAUGGAGGAAGAAGGUCUUCGGAUUGUAAACUCCUGUUGUUGAGGAAGAUAAUGACGGUACUCAACAAGGAAGUGACGGCUAACUACGUGCCAGCAGCCGCGGUAAAACGUAGGUCACAAGCGUUGUCCGGAAUUACUGGGUGUAAAGGGAGCGCAGGCGGGAGAACAAGUUGGAAGUGAAAUCCAUGGGCUCAACCCAUGAACUGCUUUCAAAACUGUUUUUCUUGAGUAGUGCAGAGGUAGGCGGAAUUCCCGGUGUAGCGGUGGAAUGCGUAGAUAUCGGGAGGAACACCAGUGGCGAAGGCGGCCUACUGGGCACCAACUGACGCUGAGGCUCGAAAGUGUGGGUAGCAAACAGGAUUAGAUACCCUGGUAGUCCACACCGUAAACGAUGAUUACUAGGUGUUGGAGGAUUGACCCCUUCAGUGCCGCAGUUAACACAAUAAGUAAUCCACCUGGGGAGUACGACCGCAAGGUUGAAACUCAAAGGAAUUGACGGGGGCCCGCACAAGCAGUGGAGUAUGUGGUUUAAUUCGACGCAACGCGAAGAACCUUACCAAGUCUUGACAUCCCUUGACGAACAUAGAAAUAUGUUUUCUCUUCGGAGCAAGGAGACAGGUGGUGCAUGGUUGUCGUCAGCUCGUGUCGUGAGAUGUUGGGUUAAGUCCCGCAACGAGCGCAACCCUUAUGGUCAGUUACUACGCAAGAGGACUCUGGCCAGACUGCCGUUGACAAAACGGAGGAAGGUGGGGAUGACGUCAAAUCAUCAUGCCCUUUAUGACUUGGGCUACACACGUACUACAAUGGCGUUAAACAAAGAGAAGCAAGACCGCGAGGUGGAGCAAAACUCAGAAACAACGUCCCAGUUCGGACUGCAGGCUGCAACUCGCCUGCACGAAGUCGGAAUUGCUAGUAAUCGUGGAUCAGCAUGCCACGGUGAAUACGUUCCCGGGCCUUGCACA